RNAcentral lists this ribosomal RNA (416 nucleotides) under uncultured bacterium. RNAcentral describes it as "partial 16S ribosomal RNA". It matches the Rfam family "Bacterial small subunit ribosomal RNA", at positions 362 to 775 of the family's 1533-position model. The record is from RNAcentral.
UAUUGGUCAAUGGACGCGAGUCUGAACCAGCCAAGUAGCGUGAAGGAUGACGGCCCUAUGGGNUGUAAACUUCUUUUAUAUGGGANNAANNNUNGGUAUGUAUACCAUUUUGUAUGUACCAUAUGAAUAANNNUNGNCUAUCUCCGUGCCAGCAGCCGCGGUAAUACGGAGGAUCCGAGCGUUAUACGGAUUUAUUGGGUUUAAAGGGAGCGUAGGUGGACAGUUAAGUCAGUUGUGAAAGUUUGCGGCUCAACCGUAAAAUUGCAGUUGAUACUGGCUGUCUUGAGUACAGUAGAGGUGGGCGGAAUUCGUGGUGUAGCGGUGAAAUGCUUAGAUAUCACGAAGAACUGCGAUUGCGAAGGCAGCUCACUGGACUGCAACUGACACUGAUGCUCGAAAGUGUGGGUAUCAAACAG